Molecule: ribosomal RNA, 502 nt
Filed under: uncultured fungus
Lineage: Eukaryota; Fungi
Description: eukaryotic LSU rRNA
Rfam family: 5.8S ribosomal RNA (bases 162-315)
Source: RNAcentral
AGGGAUCAUUAUCGAGCGAGGGCCUCUCUGGCCCGACCUCUCAACCCCAUGUUGCCCGACACUGUUGCCUCCGGGGCGACCCGGCCCUUCUGGCGCCGGGGCCUCCGGUGGACCGUCAAACACUGCAUCUGUGUGUCCGAGUCAGAUGAUAAAUCAAUCAAAACUUUCAACAACGGAUCUCUUGGUUCUGGCAUCGAUGAAGUACGCAGCGAAAUGCGAUAAGUAAUGUGAAUUGCAGAAUUCAGUGAAUCAUCGAAUCUUUGAACGCACAUUGCGCCCUCUGGUAUUCCGGGGGGCAUGCCUGUUCGAGCGUCAUUUCACCACUCCAGCCUCGCUGGGUAUUGGGCGCCGCCGCGUCGGCGCGCCCCAAUGUCUCCGGCUGAGCCGUCCGUCUCAAAGCGUUGUGGCAACUCAAUCCGCUUGUGGGACGCGUCGGUUCGACGCCGUUUUACUCUUACACAAGGUUGACCUCGGAUCAGGUAGGGAUACCCGCUGAACUUAA